UUAGGCCUUUGGAGUGCCUUGAAACAUCUAUUCGACAAUUCAGUACACGUAUGAUGAUCUGCAGUGAAACUGCUGGAAUUUAAACGGUAACAAACUGAAACCAAACAAAAUACUGACAACGACUACAAAUAUUAAAAUUUUAUGAUAUAUUUUAGAUUCGUACUUUAAAUUUUAACAACCGUGGUCGAAACCAGAUUGAAAAACGGGUUGAAACGAACAAACGACGCAUUUUACGCACUUUUUAUGUAACCGACGAUCAAACGCGACAACGAUAAAAUAGCGCUCAUGUUUUACGUAUUUGAUAAUAAAAUUAUAUUUUACAAUGCUUAUGGAGUCCAGAUCGUGAAAACGGGUUUCGUAGGAGUUAGCGGGCCACUUAAAACACGAGACUUGGGCUUGUGGGCCUUGGGCCCAAGCCCAAAACCCAUUACUCUAACCUAAGUAUAAAAAGGAAGCUAAACCCUAAUUCCAUUCACUUUACAGCCGCAUACACCGACUCCUCUCCUUUUCCCUCUCAUUUCUUGUCUGGAACAUUAUCCUCUCAAAAUCCUUCACUGCCAUCAUCUCUUUUAACUAUAACUCCAAACACACACAUACAUAACCUAAACCAAGACACCCUCUCGGUCCAGUGACCGGCGGCCGGCGGAACCGUGAAGCCGGUGGUCCUCUCCGGCAAGACACCUCCGCAAUCACACACCACUCACACCCCCUUGUCUGUUUCGUCACUGGUGAUGAUCACCGGCGGUGCGACGGUGAUGGAUACGGCAGUCAGCGACACCCUUCAUCUCGUUCCUCUUUCUGACGACACCCACACAAACCAGGCGACACCCUCUUUCUCCGACGACAGGAGCCGGAAAUCAGGUCGUUUCUCCGGCCGUUCUUCUGAUAAAGAUGAUACAUGAAGAUGAUGAGCGAUGUGAUGGUGAAGACGGUGAUGAUGCCAAUUAACGGUUACAGCCGUUACUUUUCCGAUUGAUCCAGGUCAGGUUCGGAUCCACUCAGGCCAGAUUGGUUGAAGUGUUCGGUCAACUCAGUAAGGUUAGGUCAACCACAGGCAACAUCAACUUCUGUUCGAGACUCGGUCAAACCCGAGUCCACUCGGGUCAACUCAGUAGGGUUAAAACCCGGUUCAGAAGGCUCAGUUUGGUUCGAGAAUUUCAAUUCAAGUGUCAGCUUGGUUCGAAUCGGUCAACUGGUUUCGGUUCGGGUGUUCGGGUCAACAGCGGGUCAACUCAGUCAAGAUGGUCAAACUUGGUCAACGGUAGUCAGUCAAGACCCGGAAUACCAUAGUUGCACGCUGGCUAAUGCACAUUCUUGGAACGACACUACGGAAUCACGUUAGGCUAGCUUUGCACAGGAAUGUCAAGGUUACUUUUCAAAGAUAUGGCACGAUUGGAAUGGGAGAACCCAUGGGAAUUUGAGUACUUAGCGGCGUUCAUUGUUUAGAAGUCUUAGCUUUUUGCUUCCGCUGUGCAAUGAAGAUACCGGUCCAGUCACGCCAAGCUCUGAUAUUUCGGGGUGUGACAGAUUGGUAUCAGAGCUAUAGGUUUCAGCGAACUAGGUUUCUGUAGUGAUACCUAGGCUUUAACCUCACUCUCCUCUAGGGACUUAGAUAUCAAGAAUUGAACACGUACAGAACGCCUAAGACUCGAAUAUGGGUUCCAACCGUUGCCAAGAACAAUGAGUCAACUGUUUCGAUUUUAAACAUAUACAAAUGUUGUGUCGAUACACAAUACACGAAACAAUUACACACAUAAAGCAAGACUUUGAGAGUUGUGGUAACACACAUUUAGGACCUAUGGAAAACUUACGACGAAAUUCAUUAAAGGUCCUCAUGUAGGAGCCACGAUUAUUAACUAGGGCAAAUGCCAUUACCUAUAUUGUCUAUGCUAUUUUAAUUACCCGAGCAGGUAACCUACGUGGAACGAAACGCUAUUGCGCAACUAUAUGUGAAACUUAAACUAUACGUCAACGGACGUUGAAAUACACCACACACAACUUUCGAGGCAAGGCCUUUGGAAAACAUGAUUGAGCAUGACAACAAUGAUGCUAACCCCGUCAGUGGGAGAACUACUGGUCGAAAGCGGCAAAUUGGCAAGUGAUCCUGCAAACGACACGAAUCACACUGAGGUACGCUUAAACAAGAUUUCAUAACGAUCGAUACUUAGUCUAAAGAGACUCACAAUUGUUGGCGCUGCAAAAGAAGUCACACAUUUUCGCAUCUCCCUUACUUCGUUAUGGCGAUUACGCUAUGUUCGACAUUCUAUGGUAAUGUCAUGUAACAAUCGGUCAUCACACGAAAUUCCAGGUAAAGUCCUCAAAAUUCUUUUGUUGAAAUUUUGACUUAUUGCAUAUAGUGAGUGGAUUCUCAUAGUUCUACUCCUCCUAAUGAUCACUGUAUCAUGAGGAUUCCUUCCAUGGUAGCGAAUACUCAUUUGUUCUUUUUUUCUCUUGACAAAUUCAUAAGCUACACAUGCAUUGUUUGUUACGCAUGUGGUUUCACUUCGAAUGGUUGUUUUGUCAACACCUCAUAUAUUAUUUCGCUAUACUCAAUCUUUGCAUUGUGAUCUAGACGACCCGUAUUAUUGCAAAGUGUUGACUCCUUGGUAUCGAGUCAACGAAUUUCUUGAAAAACUCAUUUUCUUUCGAAAGGCAUACAUGGUUUUUCAUUGUAAUCAUGUCGAAACUAUCUUAUUGAUACAUGAAUUUAUUGUUGGAUUGUGUUUCUACCAAGUUCAAUUGAUUGAACUUGCUCGUAAUAUAUAUUCGAUUCAAGAUUCCAUAUGAUGGAUUGAGGCCAUCAUAUUCGAAAUAAUCCCAACAAGCACUUCAUUUGCUUUGAACCAUAACAUGCUUGUUUGGUCUUCGACUUCAUUGAAUCGUUUCUUUGAUCACGAUCACCUUGUGGUGGCAUUUUUUUCACAAGUUUGAAGCUUGCGCUAAUCUCGUUGCUCACCUCAUGUACGGAUUUAAUUAUUUAUUUAUUUGUUUAUUGAUAUUAAAUCCGCUUUGUUGAUUUAUCAUAUUAAAACAAUCUUAACACACUCGUGUGUUAAGAUAAUGGUACACAAAUUUAUGUCAUAUUUCCGUGUACUUCUUUAACGGUUCUUUCAGUAUCGAUCGAACAUCUUGUGAUAUUCAUUGCUUUCCAUCUUCGAUCGAAAACAUUAUUUAUUUGCUUCAUUUUCAAUUGAAAAUCCUAUGAGAUUUGUUUGAAACAAACAUUCGGAUUUACUUCAUUGAACCUUUCAUCUGAUUUCAAAGACGGUGAACUUGUUCGGUCACCGCUAUUGUUGAAUUAUUUUAUUCACUACGACACCUUGUGGCGUCAGUAUAAACUUGUAGCUUGUGCUAAUCAUGAACAACCAUUUCAUGCGAAACUAUGUAUGCUUCUUGUUUAACAAAUCAUUUAAAUAGUCUUAAUACAACUAUGUAUUAAGACGAUGAUACACCAGGUUCGGUUGUAUUUCAGUUCGGUGUAUCCUUGCAAUUCGAUAAUGUCAACACAUUGAUUUUAUUCAUUUAACGUUUCGAUUGAUGAACAUUUUCAUGUCUCUAUGUCAAACGAAUUUGUUGAAUUCGAGUUUCAUUCAUACAACAACCAACGCAAGUUUCCGUUGGUAGUGAAUUCUAUUGUCUCAAAAAUUGAUUUGCAUAUUGUGAACGUUCAAUUGAAAUUCUACCACUUGAAAUUCCUCUUUUAUUGAACCCUGUAAACUUAGUCACAUUGGUGAUAGUAUCACAACAUCUCGUUCACUUGACAUCGAUUUCUAGAACAAACUCAGUUAAACCGUUGGAUUCUUAUUGAUGCAAAAUGUCUUUACAUUCAUAUAAUAAUUCGAAUAAGUUUUAAUUCGUUUACGCGGUCAAUCACUUUUGUAUUAUUCAGACUUACCUAGGAAUGACACAACUCUGAGGAGAUAACAUAAUCUAAAUUUCGAGGACGAAAUUUCUGCAACAGGGGGAGAAUGUGACAACUGGUAAUUAACGGGUUCUAAUUACGUGAUUAGCGAACGUUUAAAACAAUAAUAGAUAGUGUUUAAGACGUGGAUUAACUUAAUUAGGCCUUUGGAGUGCCUUGAAACAUCUAUUCGACAAUUCAGUACACGUAUGAUGAUCUGCAGUGAAACUGCUGGAAUUUAAACGGUAACAAACUGAAACCAAACAAAAUACUGACAACGACUACAAAUAUUAAAAUUUUAUGAUAUAUUUUAGAUUCGUACUUUAAAUUUUAACAACCGUGGUCGAAACCAGAUUGAAAAACGGGUUGAAACGAACAAACGACGCAUUUUACGCACUUUUUAUGUAACCGACGAUCAAACGCGACAACGAUAAAAUAGCGCUCAUGUUUUACGUAUUUGAUAAUAAAAUUAUAUUUUACAAUGCUUAUGGAGUCCAGAUCGUGAAAACGGGUUUCGUAGGAGUUAGCGGGCCACUUAAAACACGAGACUUGGGCUUGUGGGCCUUGGGCCCAAGCCCAAAACCCAUUACUCUAACCUAAGUAUAAAAAGGAAGCUAAACCCUAAUUCCAUUCACUUUACAGCCGCAUACACCGACUCCUCUCCUUUUCCCUCUCAUUUCUUGUCUGGAACAUUAUCCUCUCAAAAUCCUUCACUGCCAUCAUCUCUUUUAACUAUAACUCCAAACACACACAUACAUAACCUAAACCAAGACACCCUCUCGGUCCAGUGACCGGCGGCCGGCGGAACCGUGAAGCCGGUGGUCCUCUCCGGCAAGACACCUCCGCAAUCACACACCACUCACACCCCCUUGUCUGUUUCGUCACUGGUGAUGAUCACCGGCGGUGCGACGGUGAUGGAUACGGCAGUCAGCGACACCCUUCAUCUCGUUCCUCUUUCUGACGACACCCACACAAACCAGGCGACACCCUCUUUCUCCGACGACAGGAGCCGGAAAUCAGGUCGUUUCUCCGGCCGUUCUUCUGAUAAAGAUGAUACAUGAAGAUGAUGAGCGAUGUGAUGGUGAAGACGGUGAUGAUGCCAAUUAACGGUUACAGCCGUUACUUUUCCGAUUGAUCCAGGUCAGGUUCGGAUCCACUCAGGCCAGAUUGGUUGAAGUGUUCGGUCAACUCAGUAAGGUUAGGUCAACCACAGGCAACAUCAACUUCUGUUCGAGACUCGGUCAAACCCGAGUCCACUCGGGUCAACUCAGUAGGGUUAAAACCCGGUUCAGAAGGCUCAGUUUGGUUCGAGAAUUUCAAUUCAAGUGUCAGCUUGGUUCGAAUCGGUCAACUGGUUUCGGUUCGGGUGUUCGGGUCAACAGCGGGUCAACUCAGUCAAGAUGGUCAAACUUGGUCAACGGUAGUCAGUCAAGACCCGGAAUACCAUAGUUGCACGCUGGCUAAUGCACAUUCUUGGAACGACACUACGGAAUCACGUUAGGCUAGCUUUGCACAGGAAUGUCAAGGUUACUUUUCAAAGAUAUGGCACGGUUGGAAUUGGAGAACCCAUGGGAAUUUGAGUACUUAGCGGCGUUCAUUGUUUAGAAGUCUUAGCUUUUUGCUUCCGCUGUGCAAUGAAGAUACCGGUCCAGUCACGCCAAGCUCUGAUAUUUCGGGGUGUGAACUGUUCACGAACGCAUACCGAACAUAAGUUUAUGUUUGUGUUCUUUCGUUAAGGAAAUUCAGUUGUUCACGAACAGUUCGUAAACGCUGAUCUCGAACACAAACGAACACAUGCAAAUAAAACCGAACGAAAAUGAACAUUUAACUUGAAAUUAAAGAUAAAGGUCGGUGGCUGUCACAUCAAAA
Long non-coding RNA from Helianthus annuus (common sunflower), 5770 nucleotides. RefSeq lists it as uncharacterized. The transcript is spliced from 7 exons. NCBI's taxonomy places the organism in Eukaryota, Viridiplantae, Streptophyta, Magnoliopsida, Asterales, Asteraceae. The record is from RefSeq and is a predicted model, not a curated record.